Molecule: long non-coding RNA, 2254 nt
Filed under: Mytilus galloprovincialis (Mediterranean mussel)
Lineage: Eukaryota; Metazoa; Mollusca; Bivalvia; Mytilida; Mytilidae
Source: RNAcentral
UUUUCUUCCUAAAAUUGAUGAUAGGUACCAGAAGUUGUCUGGAAUGUUCCUCAUCAUGAAUGAAAACUAAUAUACAUUAUCCUGCUAUUUAAAGUACAGAUAUGUCUUACUGCAAUGUACCAAAAAAAGAAAAUUUAAACAUUUUUUGGUUCAUAAAAUAGUACCAAUUGGCAAAUAUUUAACACCUACACCAGACUUUUUAUAUUGGAUAGUAUUUUCUUUUAAGGACAUUAUUUGAAAGACAGUGUAGCAAGCAAUGGCCAAGUCAUCAGGAACAAUGGGAGCACACAUAACAACAAGUGUAUGGAAAAAAAGAAAAGAAAAUGUAUAUGGUGCAUUCACAAAUGAAAUAUUAUAUUAAUGGUAGCCACCAUUAAGUUUAACCCAUUUUAUAUCAGUGUCAUCAAGAUAUGAAAUUAGAUGUAUUUGGUGUUUUUGGGUAUGUUUCAUUUAAGUGAAAUAUGGUUUAAAAGUUUAAUCCAUCAUGCAGUUAUGAAUGAGGCUGGUCUCUCAUGUUAUAUAGAAAAGAGAAUAAUGGGGAGCUUAAAUAUAAAGAAUAAUGUGCAAAAUAGAUAACGAAGAGAAAAAUGGUCUAAAGAAUUUAGAAAAUAAAUUAUCAAGUUAACGAACUUCCCUCUCAUGACUUUGUUACAAGGUAUCAGAGAAUGGUCACCGACUAUUUAACUCUGUGAUAAAUGGUGCCAAUGAAAUUAUAAAAUUGAAUUGUUGUGUUUGAAGAUUGUAGUUAUGACUUAGAUCUCUGUAUUUUAAUAUGUGUUCUAAUAAGUAUUAUGUUUGGAUAAAUGUGUUUUAUAUUUAAUACUGCCAAUUUUACUCUGGGCCUGUCUGGAAGAAUGUGCCUGAGUGGUUUAAUUCGUUCAACUACAUUUUUGCUAACCUUUCAACACUACGGUUGUGAGUUCCAAUCCCACUCGUGGUGAGUUCCAAUCCCACUCGCGGUGAUUUCCAAUCCCACUCGCGGCAAGUGUAUUUGACUCCAAUCUUAAUUGACUAGGGGUUGUCAGCUUUUGCACGGAAGACUGUGAUUCACUCUAGGCACUCUAGCUUCCUCCACCAAUACAAAUUGACCACUAUGAAAUAACUAUUAGUGCUGGAAGUGGUAUUUUACAUUGAUCAAUCAAUUAAUUUUUUUGAAAAGCCCUGCAAUAAAGAUAUUAACAAUAUUAACUAUUUUUGAUGAUUGUGAUAAUAAUUGCUUUAUUGAGAAUGUUGGUGUCAUAAGGUAUAUUAAUGCCCUUGUUAGCUCACCUGUCCCGAAGGGACAAGUGAGCUUAUGCCAUCACUUGGCGUCCGUCAUCGUCCGUCGUCUGUCGUCGUCUGUCGUCGUAAACUAUUUCAAGAAUCUUCUCCUCUGAAACUACUGGGCCAAAUACUUUCAAACUUUAACUGAAUGUUCCUUAGGGUAUCUAAUUUAUAAAUUGUAUCCGAAGUUUUGAUCUAUCAACAAACAUGGUCGCCAUUGCUAAAAAUAGAACAUAGGGGUCAAAUGCAGUUUUUGGCUUAUAACUCAAAAACCAAAGCAUUUAGAGCAAAUCUGACAUGGGGGUAAUAUUGUUUAUCAGGUCAAGAUCUAUCUGCCCUGAAAUUUUCAGAUGAAUCAGACAACCCCGUUGUUGGGUUGCUGCCCCUGAAUUGGUAAUUUUAAGGAAAAUUUUGCUGUUUUUGGUUAUUAUCUUGAAUAUUAUUAUAGAUAGAGAUAAACUGUAAACAGGAAUAAUGUUCAGCAAAGUAAGAUUUUACAAAUAAGUCAACAUGACGGAAAUGGUCAGUUGACCCCUUUAGGAGUUAUCAUGGUUAUUGCCCUUUAUAGUCAAUUUUUAACCAUUUUUCGUAAAUCUUAGUAAUCUUUUACAAAAAUCUUCUCCUCUGAAACUACUGGGCCAAAUACUUCCAAACUUUAACUGAAUGUUCCUUAGGGUAUCUAGUUUGUAAAUUGUAUCCGAAGUUAUGAUCUAUCAACAAACAUGGUCGCCAUUGCUAAAAAUAGAACAUAGGGGUCAAAUGCAGUUUUUGGCUUAUAACUCAAAAACCAAAGCAUUUAGAGCAAAUCUGACAUGGGGUAAUAUUUAUCAGGUCAAUUUCUAUCUGCCCUGAAAUUUUCAGAUGAAUCAGACAACCUGUUGUUGGGUUGCUGCCCCUGAAUUGAUAAUUUUAAGGAAAUUUUGCUGUUUUUGUUUAUUAUCUUGAAUAUAAUUAUAGAUAGAAAUAAACUGUAAACAGCAAUAAUGUUCAG